Long non-coding RNA from Mizuhopecten yessoensis (Yesso scallop), 337 nucleotides. RefSeq lists it as uncharacterized. Lineage: Eukaryota; Metazoa; Mollusca; Bivalvia; Pectinida; Pectinidae. The transcript is spliced from 3 exons. The record is from RefSeq and is a predicted model, not a curated record.
AAUUGGCGGUUACACUCGGUCACACGACCACUGGGGGAGCAUGCUAGCCCGAGGUCACGGAGUACAGAGGGGGAGGCUAAUUACGGCCGAUAACAAAGUCAUUCAUGCAUGUCGGCCGGGAGGGACGAGCACCCGCGGGCGACACACUUCAAAGAAGCGAUUUACGAGGUUGUUGCCGGUUUCGUUCGUACUCCCGUCUUUAUCGGAGUCAACCAAACGAAAUAGACAUCUGUAGCAGACGACACCUUCAGGUUUUCGUUGAAGAUUCUACACUUACUAUUGUUAGGUCCCGAGGAGUGAACGGUCAUCACAUGAUGGACAGAUGCUUGACCAGCAG